GCCGCGUGAAGGAUGACGGCCCUAUGGGUUGUAAACUUCUUUUGUACGGGAAAAAACCCCUGGUCGCGUAUCAGGGCUGAUGGUACCGUAAGAAUAAGCAUCGGCUAACUCCGUGCCAGCAGCCGCGGUAAUACGGAGGAUGCAAGCGUUAUCCGGAUUUAUUGGGUUUAAAGGGUGCGUAGGCGGGAUGAUAAGUCAGUGGUGAAAUCCUACAGCUCAACUGUAGAACUGCCAUUGAUACUGUCAACCUUGAGUACAUUUGAAGUGGGCGGAAUGUGUGGUGUAGCGGUGAAAUGCUUAGAUAUCACACAGAACACCGAUAGCGAAGGCAGCUCACUAAACUGUAACUGACGCUGAGGCACGAAAGCGUGGGGAGCAAACAGGAUUAGAUACCCUGGUAGUCCACGCCGUAAACUAUGAUCACUCGAUGUGUGCGAUACACUGUACGCGUCUGAGCGAAAGCAUUAAGUGAUCCACCUGGGGAGUACGAUCGCAAGAUUGAAACUCAAGG
RNAcentral lists this ribosomal RNA (511 nucleotides) under uncultured bacterium. RNAcentral's name for it is "bacterial SSU rRNA". It matches the Rfam family "Bacterial small subunit ribosomal RNA", at positions 396 to 906 of the family's 1533-position model. The record is from RNAcentral. RNAcentral also lists the same sequence under 1 other name.